Micropterus dolomieu (smallmouth bass) is the source of this 1969-nucleotide RNA transcript. It is a transcript of the gene named G2/M phase-specific E3 ubiquitin-protein ligase-like, with no coding region annotated. The record is from RefSeq and is a predicted model, not a curated record. The transcript is spliced from 11 exons. NCBI's taxonomy places the organism in Eukaryota, Metazoa, Chordata, Actinopteri, Centrarchiformes, Centrarchidae.
UUAAAAGCGGCAACGUGAAGCACCUUUGAGACAAAGCACAAAUUAGCACAAAUUCCAAACAUUCAGACGAGAGGAGGGUGGCGGACCAGCCCGGAGACGCAGAUGUAGCACAAGACGACAAAUAACCUUCAGAGUGUCUGUGCUGAGGAGCAGCACAUUGACCUGUUACAGGUCUCAUAGGGAUGCUACUCCUCCCUGUCGGGUCGUCGUCCCUUUAGACCUUGACAAACAGGAGUUUGUUCAAGUCCUUCAAGAAAACAUCCCCGCGUUGCCUGAACACUUUGAGCUUUGCCGAGUCAAUGGGCAGCGCAGCAUAAUAGUGUUGGAGGAGCAGUGCCCAAGGGACAUACAUGCCCAGAAUGCCCUAGGGCGCUCUUGUCUCUACCUACGCCCCAAGGAUGUUAUGUCAAACCCCUCCAGACCAGUGGAACAAACACCAGCUGCACCACCAAUUGCAGUUGGGACAACUUCUCCUGCUCCAUCUCCACCAAUCCACACCUCUUCUCCUGCUCCAUCUCCACCAAUCCACACCUCUUCUCCUGCUCCAUCUCCACCAAUCCACACCUCUUCACCUGCUCCAUCUCCAGCUCACAAUCAUUUCUAUAUAUCCUCCGCACCAUCGAGCCCAUACCAGGAGGGAACUGAAGAAGCUUUUGACAUCGCUGUGGCACUUCGAUCCCUACAAUCAAGGGUUCACCAUCUGGCUCCCACAGCCAAUCAGAUAAAUGUUCUUCGCAAUGAAGAAUUUGAAUGUGCCGAGAGAGCCUUCCGGCGACCAGCCUUCAAUCCACAGUCCAAGCUGGACAUCGUUUUCAUAGAUGAGGAUGGUCAAGGAGAAGGUGCCAUCGACGAUGGUGGGCCAACAAGGGAAUUUUGUAGGUUGCUAAUGCAACAACUCCAGGAGCAUCAAAUAUUUGAAGGGCCUCUUGAAGCCCGUACCCUGGCCCUUGACAGUGUUGCUCUUCACAACAACACUUAUAGACUUGUGGGCCAAAUGUUGGCAGUUUGUCUCAUCCAUGGAGGGGUGUCGCCACACUUUUUUUCCAAGAGGCUUUUUAAUCAAGUCUGUGGUCUUCCACCUAGUCCAGCAACCAUUGAAGAGGUGGUAGACCACAGCCUUAGGGCAAAACUGGAGAAGAUAAGCAGUGCAGUAGCGCUACAGGAUGCAAGGCAGGCUGUCAAUGAAGCGGCCGAAGAGUUGGCAAUGAUGGGAGCCCUACGGCACCUCCGCUCGUUGGACCACAGGGGGGAAUUGAUGGAAGCUGUCCUCCAGUUCCACUGUGAAGGCCGAAUCUAUGCAGCCCUCCAACAAUUCAAAGAAGGACUAACUUCACUUGGUGUCCUGGAUGAAGUCACCUCACAUCCACAAGACUUUGAAAAAGUCUUCCUCCAGGACACAACAACCCUAAAGGCCAGCGACAUUGUGGGGGUGUUCCAGGCCAGAUGCCGAUCCCUUCAUCAAAUAGGAGGCGGUUGGAAGCCAGGACCAUUGUAUUCUGGAAAGACUGGCUCCUGGAGGUGGAAGGUGGACUUGCUGGACCAAUCACACUGGAGCAGGUCCUAAUUUUUGGAACAGGUCUCCGCAGAAUCCCAGCAAUGGGCUUUUCAGUGCAGCCUGAGCUGGCAUUUUUACACCCUGAAGAUGGACAUGCCAAGUUUCCCCAGGCCAACACCGGCGCGUUGGUGCUACAUCUACCCACAGACAUCUGAAAGAAGUUAUGGCUCGGAGGACCUUCAUCUUGCGGUGCAGGCACAUUCUUCAAGACUGUACACGGCGUCUGUUGAUGGACGAUGUUGGAUCUGGUGUGCAACUCUUAACAUUGACGAGGCUAGAGACAAUGCACAGAAGCCUCCAGUGGGCAAGGGGAAGACUGAUCAAUGUCACAGCUGCAGACCAACUUCUCAGCGACUUGGCUGAAUUAAUUCAGGAGGUCAGAAUGUCUUCUCAGCCCGGGCAACAGGGUGAGUU